This 1857-nucleotide long non-coding RNA is filed under the name Gadus morhua (Atlantic cod). RNAcentral describes it as "lncRNA (ENSGMOG00000034259.1)". Lineage: Eukaryota; Metazoa; Chordata; Actinopteri; Gadiformes; Gadidae. The record is from RNAcentral.
AAGCAGGGCUGUAGUGGUCAAAUUAGAGGUGGGUAAACUAUGAAUUUUUUGAUCAGACCGACCUCGACACAACGCAACGCAAAGUGUUUCGACUCUGUAAGGCUAGCCUGGUUAUAUUCCAUUAUGUUAUCAAUUAAAGUCAUAUUAAAUCAAUCAGUGACAGUCAAUGAAUGUGUUUGUAGUUUAUUCAAGUUAUUCAAAUUUCAACAGUAAAGAAAAGUAUGUGUAGAUUAAGAACUAUCUAUCUAUGGCAUGUGUGUAUGUGUGUGUAUUAGUAUGCAUGCUUUUCACAGUAGUACCCAGAGGCAUAGGCGUCGAUUACGCCGGGGACGCGUCCCCACCAGUUUUCGUAAAGACUAAUUUUGUCCCCACCAGAAAAAAAAAACAAAUAAAUAAUAAAUAAAAUAUGUAUAGUUUUUUAAAAAUGAAUGUUUAUAGCGCGAGACAGAUGCGAACCAAUCCACAAAAAAACGAUCUGCAUACGGCACACAAGCCAGCCGUCAACAAUUUGCAACAAUUAUAACAUUUGGAUGAGUAGUUCUAGAAUGGGGGAGGGGUGGGUGGUACGGUGGGCGGCUCCUUCUCUGUGUAAUCUGAACCUGACUGCUUGCUGCGCACUUCCAUGGACAAUCUGCUGCGGUUGCAGCCUCAUGCAUUUGAGGAAAGGAGGUCCGGAGGAGGAACUUGUUUCUGCCAACUCACCUCUUCAUUGCCAUCUACCAGUUCCUGCCUUUCAUUAAGCUCUGAUGUUCCUUAUAAAUAAAUAAAAAUGUGUUAACUCAAUUGAUUAUGCCCUCUAUUUUAUGAGAUUUAUGUGGUGUGCAAACAAAAGUCUUGUAACCUUUAUUGUAAUGAUUUGACCACUAUGACGGUAUGUUGGUUGUGGUAUAUGUUAUCAAUAUUGUAAUUGGUUUUUGACAAAAUAUUGGUUUGGAGUGUGCGGUUGCCUGGUACCAUGGUUGUUACUUGGUACAAAUAAUAUGGAUGAUUUACGACCAUCUAGUGGGGAGUCUGAAAACUGCUAACGAAACGUCAUUGAAGUGAAAAUAAAAUAAAUCAUUCGUACUGUUGUAAAUUCAAAAUGAAUUUAAAUAGGAAAGCUAAACGUUGAAGCACAUAGGGCAAAACACUCCAGUAGCACUAGGCAUGCUAGCCAACAGUGUGUCGCGCUGGUAGAGGCUAGCUAGCUAAAAAAAACCUCAAGAAUUACAAUAUAUUUCUAGAAUAAAUAUUAAUUUAGCUGAGCUCAUAAGACACUAGCACACUUACUGUGCAUGUCAGCUUAAAUUGCUUGGCUUUAAAAAAAAAGCUCUGAUGUCCUGUCCACUCCUUUUUGACAUUUUGCUGUAUAAUUAACUAGGUAGGAUCAGAGAAUGUCGGGCUCUGGUUGUAUCGCUAUCUCGUCUUUUUUCAGUUGUGACUAGAUGUGCCCUCUGCGGCACCGUAGUUGUGGAUUAUUUUCGUAUGAGGUGCCAGCCUGACUUGGACAAUGAAUGAGAUAUUAAUACCAAUACUCUAUGGCUGGUAUGCAAUGAUGAGGCAUCAGACAGUCAAUUAAUUUUAGCCUGAAUACAUAGGUAAAAAGCACCAGACCGCUAGUACCAUGGAUGGACAGUGUCAGAGCGAAAACCUGUUGAACUAAAUGGAUGUGGUUAGGCAGCAGGCACGCAGGCUACACCGCGGGAUACAUCUGCAGACCACUGGCACGUUAAUAAAGGUAAGAUGCGAUAUUUAUUGCUUAAGAUUUGCUGGUACUUUGGCGAGAUCUUUUGUGUUUUUUGCCCUCAUGUGGUCAGCUGUUUUAACUUGAAAUAGUACUACUAGCCAUAGCCUCCAAGUAGCCUAACUUAAAUUAUC